Molecule: ribosomal RNA, 471 nt
Filed under: uncultured bacterium
Lineage: Bacteria
Description: partial 16S ribosomal RNA
Rfam family: Bacterial small subunit ribosomal RNA
Source: RNAcentral
CCAGACUCCUACGGGAGGCAGCAGUGGGGAAUCUUCCGCAAUGGGCGCAAGCCUGACGGAGCAACGCCGCGUGAAUGAAGAAGGUCUUCGGAUCGUAAAGUUCUGUUCUUAGGGAAGAAGUCUUUUCUUGUGAAUAAUGGGAGAAGGUGACGGUACCUAUGGAGAAAGCUCCGGCUAGCUACGUGCCAGCAGCCGCGGUAAUACGUAGGGGGCAAGCGUUAUCCGGAUUUACUGGGUGUAAAGGGAGCGUAGACGGUGAAGCAAGUCUGAAGUGAAAGGCGGGGGCUCAACCCCCGGACUGCUUUGGAAACUGUUUGACUGGAGUGCAGGAGAGGUAAGUGGAAUUCCUAGUGUAGCGGUGAAAUGCGUAGAUAUUAGGAGGAACACCAGUGGCGAAGGCGGCUUACUGGACUGUAACUGACGUUGAGGCCCGAAAGCGUGGGGAGCAAACAGGAUUAGAUACCCGGGUAA